Bufo gargarizans (Asiatic toad) is the source of this 470-nucleotide long non-coding RNA. RefSeq lists it as uncharacterized. The transcript has 3 exons. The record is from RefSeq and is a predicted model, not a curated record. NCBI's taxonomy places the organism in Eukaryota, Metazoa, Chordata, Amphibia, Anura, Bufonidae.
AGACGUUGCUAGGAUUGGCUUAGUUCCACAUUUCAUGCUUUAUCUUGGUUGUUUGGUGUUGCCUACACUUUCCAAAGGAAAUUGACAGAUGACUGAAGUUUUAUGACCUGAAAGAAAUAAUACAAGAUGGGUGCUUCAUGUGGAAAGGUGUACUUAUCCAAGGUUAAAAGGAAGAAGUUGAUAGGAUUGGCUUAGUUCCAAGCAUGUUCUUUGAAGAUGGUGAUAUUUCAGAUGCUAUAUAUUGAUUGUUCGGUGUUGCCUACAUGAUAUACUUCCAAAUGGAAAUUGGCAGAUGACUGACAUUUUAUGACAUGAGAAGAAUAAAAAGUUUUACUUUCUAUGGGGUUAAACUUUAGGAUCAAAGAGAAAUCACAAUGACUUGCGUAUGAGUAAGGAUAUCCUAUUAUCCAGUUCAGUGAAGAAACAAGCAGAUGAUCCACCCACAAGCAGCUGCAGCAGUGACAUGAAUU